This 253-nucleotide ribosomal RNA is filed under the name uncultured bacterium. Its description in RNAcentral is "partial 16S ribosomal RNA". It matches the Rfam family "Bacterial small subunit ribosomal RNA", at positions 524 to 776 of the family's 1533-position model. The record is from RNAcentral.
UACGGAGGGAGCUAGCGUUGUUCGGAAUUACUGGGCGUAAAGCGUGCGUAGACGGUUAUGUAAGUCGGGUGUGAAAGCCCCGGGCUCAACCUGGGAAUUGCAUUCGAGACUGCAUAGCUAGGGUGCGGAAGAGGGAAGCGGAAUUUCCGGUGUAGCGGUGAAAUGCGUAGAUAUCGGAAGGAACACCAGUGGCGAAAGCGGCUUCCUGGGCUAACACUGACGCUCAGGCACGAAAGCGUGGGGAGCAAACAGG